This 477-nucleotide ribosomal RNA is filed under the name Candidatus Scalindua brodae. RNAcentral describes it as "bacterial SSU rRNA". It matches the Rfam family "Bacterial small subunit ribosomal RNA", at positions 365 to 832 of the family's 1533-position model. Lineage: Bacteria; Pseudomonadati; Planctomycetota; Candidatus Brocadiia; Candidatus Brocadiales; Candidatus Scalinduaceae. The record is from RNAcentral. RNAcentral also lists the same sequence under 1 other name.
UUCGCAAUGCCCGAAAGGGUGACGAAGCGACGCCGCGUGGGUGAGGAAGGCCUUCGGGUUGUAAAGCCCUGUCAGGAGUUAAGGAAUGUAGGCUCGCUAAUAUCGGGUCUAUUUGACAAAGGCUCCAAAGGAAGCCACGGCUAACUCUGUGCCAGCAGCCGCGGUAAUACAGAGGUGGCAAGCGUUGUUCGGAAUUAUUGGGCGUAAAGAGCACGUAGGUGGAUUUGUAAGUCAGACGUGAAAGCCUUCUGUUCAACGGAAGAAUUGCAUCUGAAACUACAAACCUUGAGUGUAGGAGGGGAGAAUGGAACUUCUGGUGGAGCGGUGAAAUGCGUAGAUAUCAGAAGGAACGCCGGCGGCGAAAGCGAUUCUCUGGCCUAUUACUGACACUCAGUGUGCGAAAGCUAGGGGAGCAAACGGGAUUAGAUACCCCGGUAGUCCUAGCCGUAAACGAUGGGCACUAAGUAGAGGGGUUUU